GCCAGACUCCUACGGGAGGCAGCAGUAGGGAAUAUUGCUCAAUGGGGGAAACCCUGAAGCAGCAACGCCGCGUGGAGGAUGAAGGUUUUAGGACUGUAAACUCCUUUUGUUAGAGAAGAUUAUGACGGUAUCUAACGAAUAAGCACCGGCUAACUCCGUGCCAGCAGCCGCGGUAAUACGGAGGAUGCGAGCGUUAUCCGGAUUUAUUGGGUUUAAAGGGUGCGUAGGCGGGCUGUUAAGUCAGCGGUCAAAUGUCGGGGCUCAACCCCGGCCUGCCGUUGAAACUGGCAGUCUCGAGUUGGAGAGAAGUAUGCGGAAUGCGCGGUGUAGCGGUGAAAUGCAUAGAUAUCGCGCAGAACUCCGAUUGCGAAGGCAGCAUGCCGGCUCCACACUGACGCUGAGGCACGAAAGCGUGGGUAUCGAACAGGAUUAGAUACCCCAGUAA
RNAcentral lists this ribosomal RNA (445 nucleotides) under uncultured bacterium. RNAcentral's name for it is "bacterial SSU rRNA". It matches the Rfam family "Bacterial small subunit ribosomal RNA", at positions 330 to 793 of the family's 1533-position model. The record is from RNAcentral.